RNAcentral lists this ribosomal RNA (484 nucleotides) under uncultured bacterium. RNAcentral's name for it is "partial 16S ribosomal RNA". It matches the Rfam family "Bacterial small subunit ribosomal RNA", at positions 28 to 523 of the family's 1533-position model. The record is from RNAcentral.
GAUGAACGCUGGCGGCGUGCUUAACACAUGCAAGUCGAACGGUGAAGCAGGGGCUUGCUCUUGUGGAUCAGUGGCGAACGGGUGAGUAACACGUGAGCAACCUGCCCCUGACUCUGGGAUAAGCGCUGGAAACGGCGUCUAAUACUGGAUAUGUGAUGUGACCGCAUGGUCUGCAUCUGGAAAGAAUUUCGGUUGGGGAUGGGCUCGCGGCCUAUCAGCUUGUUGGUGAGGUAAUGGCUCACCAAGGCGUCGACGGGUAGCCGGCCUGAGAGGGUGACCGGACACACUGGGACUGAGACACGGCCCAGACUCCGACGGGAGGCAGCAGUGGGGAAUAUUGCACAAUGGGCGGAAGCCUGAUGCAGCAACGCCGCGUGAGGGAUGACGGCCUUCGGGUUGUAAACCUCUUUUAGCAGGGAAGAAGCGAAAGUGACGGUACCUGCAGAAAAAGCACCGGCUAACUACGUGCCAGCAGCCGCAGUAA